RNAcentral lists this long non-coding RNA (2220 nucleotides) under Pan troglodytes (chimpanzee). RNAcentral's name for it is "long non-coding RNA NONPTRT014448". Lineage: Eukaryota; Metazoa; Chordata; Mammalia; Primates; Hominidae. The record is from RNAcentral.
AAAAAAAAAAAAAAAAGACAUUUGCCCAAGGGUCAUAGCUGUAGGGGGGCAGAUGUGGUUUGAACCCAGGGCGUCUGGUUCCUCUCUGGAAGCAACCAAAGUGCCUGUGAUUGGGGUAGUGACAAAGCACUCUGAGCCGCUGCAUGGCAGAUGCUGUGAAGAGUCAUCUUUGCCUGUCCCAUAUCUAUUCCCAUUUUUUCUGAUUGCAACACCUUGUUUUUUUGUGUGUGGUGAGGGAACCAUGCCCUUUCAACCAAGCUAUGUGGUGUUCAUAAGGGUAGCCCCUCCUCCGACCCCAGGAGUGGCAGUUCACAGCCCUGACUGAUCACAGUGUUCCGUGGCCUAGCCGUAACCAACCCAGGGAGUGAGACUGAACUCAGGGGUUCAUUGGACCUGUCAGGAAAGAGAGACCUUUCUUGUUUCUGGACUUGGAGCUGUGAUGGAAGUAAGUGCGUCAGGGGCCAACACAUAGCGUUGGCCUACAAAUGCAGCCCAGGCAGAGGAUGGUGCGGCCAAGCCACACAGAGAGACAACUUCCUAGUGACACGCUGUGAACACCUGCAUCCACCCCUGCCUGAACUGGAGCUUUUCCUCUUCAGCUCUUCAGUUAUGUGAGGCAAGAUGUUGCCUUUUUUGCUUAAUGCUGUGAGUUGAGUGUACAGCAGUUACAAUCAAAGAAUCCUAAAUAAUGCUGCAAGCAUGGUAACUAUCUACAUGGGAAUAUGCAGUACUCCAGUGAAAACAAAACAUAAGUUAAUUUUGGAAUCUGAUGACCAUAAUCUAAAAACAUUCAUAGAGGUAUAUAAAAAUUAUAACAAAAUUUAAAGUAGCAUAUCUCCUCAUGAAGCAGGUUAAGUGUAUACACAAAGAAGGAGGAGGAAAAGGCGAGAAAGAAUCUGCCCUUGUGGGGAAGUGACAGAGGCAGAAGAGGCUGAUGCAGUCCUGCAUCCAGGCCCAGCUCUGCCAGCAGCUGAGUACCCCUGAACAAGCUCCCCCACCUCUUCGGGCCUCACUUUCCCCAUCUAUGAAAGAAAGGGAGUCUGGCUUCCAUAGCUGCCCCAGCUGAUACACAAGGUGCCAGCGUGUCCUCAGUCCUGUCACGAGAAACCUUUCCCCUAGAAUCCCAGGAUGAGCUUGAAAUCCUGUCUGGGAUCCCGACGGCCCAGGUGCUGACCCUGCCUCGGGUUGUGUCUGCUGAGAAGUCUGAUUUCUGCUUAUCUCUCCCCAUUUAUUUCUUCCCAUAAAGUGGGCUGAUGCGCUGGAACGUCAAUGCAGCCAGUGAUGUGUUUGAUGAGAAUGUAUUGAGUAAAGCUGCCCAGAAUCCAAGUGUGUGUCAUCUGAACUCUUGAAUCAUGGAUGGAAGAUGGUGAACCGAAACUUACAGAGCUCAAGUCACUUGACCGGGCUCCACCCCUACAAGAGGCAGCAUGCAAACUAAAACCCAGGCGGCCUUUUCCAAAGCUUGUGCUCUGCUCCACUGCGGGAAGGAACCCUUCGGGGAACUGAAGCAGCACUGAACAAAGGCCAUUUUUAAGAAGCGACAGCAGAAACCUAAGGCGGGGUCCCCGGCUCAACAAGGAUCUCAUGUUUUGUGGGUCAGAGAUUCUUGUGUCGUGUCUGGGUGAGGUCAAAAACCAUGCAGAGACUUUCACUUCCUGUUCUGUGGCAGACAAGACAUCUGAAAAGCUCUCCUGCAGCAACACUUCUAGAUGCCAACUCUUGCUGUUGUACUCUUUUGUGGUCUACACUGCGUUUAUGGGCUGUAACUAGUCGUCACAAAGGCCUGCGGUUUUCACUUUCUGCCUCAGCCAGCAAGACUGCAAACCCACCACAAAGAAAAACUUAAGAACCGUCACAUCCACCGUAAGGGUCUGCAGCUGGGUUUUUGAAGUCAGACCAAGAACCCACCAAUUCGGGACACACCAUCUGGGCAGCUGAAUCAAGACUUUGUGGAGGAGCUCCAAAGUGGGUAGAAAAGUACGUCCACACUUACAGGGAGAUGGGCACGCAGCCUCUUUCCUUCUCACCUCGGUAGAAAAAUAAACUUCUGUUCCCUAGGGUUUGGAUUUGGAAUUUAUUGUACCCACAACCAGCAGUGAGCAUAACACAAAAUGAUCCCAAGUGAUAAAAACCUUAAGUAUAGUAAGUAAUUUAAGUAAACAUAAAUUCUCUCUGGAGAAAACCAUGAUCUCAUGGCUAUUAAGAUUCCCAUUGAUUAAG